RNAcentral lists this ribosomal RNA (537 nucleotides) under uncultured Psychrobacter sp. RNAcentral describes it as "bacterial SSU rRNA". It matches the Rfam family "Bacterial small subunit ribosomal RNA", at positions 96 to 633 of the family's 1533-position model. Lineage: Bacteria; Pseudomonadati; Pseudomonadota; Gammaproteobacteria; Moraxellales; Moraxellaceae. The record is from RNAcentral.
CGGCGGACGGGUGAGUAAUACUUAGGAAUCUGCCCAGUAGUGGGGGAUAGCACGGGGAAACUCGUAUUAAUACCGCAUACACCCUACGGGGAAAAGGGGGCGCUUGCGCUCUCGCUAUUGGAUGAGCCUAAGUCGGAUUAGCUAGUUGGUGGGGUAAAGGCCUACCAAGGCGACGAUCUGUAGCUGGUCUGAGAGGAUGAUCAGCCACACCGGGACUGAGACACGGCCCGGACUCCUACGGGAGGCAGCAGUGGGGAAUAUUGGACAAUGGGGGCAACCCUGAUCCAGCCAUGCCGCGUGUGUGAAGAAGGCCUUUUGGUUGUAAAGCACUUUAAGCAGUGAAGAAGACUCUAUGGUUAAUACCCAUAGACGAUGACAUUAGCUGCAGAAUAAGCACCGGCUAACUCUGUGCCAGCAGCCGCGGUAAUACAGAGGGUGCAAGCGUUAAUCGGAAUUACUGGGCGUAAAGCGAGCGUAGGUGGCUUAAUAAGUCAGAUGUGAAAUCCCCGGGCUUAACCUGGGAACUGCAUCUGAUAC